UGUGUCUGUCAGACUGGCCUUGGCAGCAAAGAAAGGCCAUAUGGUGCCCAUCCAUAUGGAUAGGCUGGCUGGAUUUUAGAAUCUUAUUCCCUACUGAUGUUCCUGUUGUGUGAACAGAAUAACUUCUAUUUAAGAGUAAAACAUGGCCGGGCGCGGUGGCUCACGCCUGUAAUCCCAGCACUUUGGGAGGCCGAGGCGGGCGGAUCACGAGGUCAGGAGAUCGAGACCAUCCUGGCUAACACGGUGAGACCCCGUCUCUACUAACAAUACAAAAAAUUAGCCGGGCGUGGUAGCGGGCGCCUGUAGUCCCAGCUACUCGGGAGGCUGAGGCAGGAGAAUGGCGUGAACCCGGGAGGCGGAGCUUGCAGUGAGCCGAGAUCGCGCCACUGCACUCCAGCCUGGGCGACAGAGCGAGACUCCGUCUCAAAAAAAAAAAAAAAAAAAAAAGAGUAAAACAUGUGGGAUUCCAGCCUUGCAUAUUGUAUCAGUUAGAAAAUGUGCUCAAUUGUGAGGAGCAGAGACCUGAAAACAGGGCUUAAACACACUAGAUGUGGUACAGGGGCUCUGCAACCUCAUUGUAGACUUUCCAUCCCUCUUCUCUGACAUCUUUGAGUUGUGACUUCUUUCCUCAAGGCUGCCUCAUACAUAUAAAGUGGCUACUAGAACUCCAAACGGCAUUUUCUCAUUCCUAGUAGAAAGAAGGGAAAACACAAGGAACAAAAGGAGCAUGCCAGCUGAGUCAUUGCCUAUUUUUAAGGAGCAUUACCAGAAGACACACCCAACAAUUUAUGUUUGCAUCUCAUUGGCUAGGAUUUAGUCUUAUGCACCUCUCAUCUUCUAGGAAUCCUGGGAAAUCUAGUAUAUUUUAGGAAAAGAAGAUUUGGUGUCUACACUGCUAGUACUCCAGUUCAGCUUUCGCUGACCAUGACUCUAUUUGGCUAACUGCACAGAUUUGCUGAUAGCUCACCAGUUAUCAGCUACUCUGCUAAAUGAAUAGAAUGAACCAGACACAGUCUUCACGCUGUGGCAGCUCUCAGUCUAAUGUAAGGGAGGCAAGCAAGUGAACCAGACAGAACAACACUGUGCGAUGAGCAUCAAACAUGUUGAAAGAACAUGACAGAAGCAUAUGCUCAUUCAAAGGAGGAGCCGGAGCUUCUAGUAAAAGCCAACAGAGAGGGGCAGCUGGAAAGAGGAGAAGAGGAUUAGAAGAGCUUUUCCUCAGUGGCAUUUUUGAGACUUCAAAAUGCUCUUAGAAGCUACUUGACAACAAAAUCAGUUGAUCCCAUUGUUGCAGCUCAGAAUUCUGUUUCAGUAUAUCGCAGCUGAGUAAGGAAGCUAAGGCGCUGGAGUGGUAUUAAUGCAUCACCCAUGGAUAUGUCCAAAAGCUCUUAAUUAUAGCACCUUAAAGAAGUCUUACAAAAAUCCUCCAGCCUUCCACAAGACCUGGGUCUCCUGGGGCCAGGACCACCAAAGAGAAAAUAAAAUCCCAGAUCUCUGAGGGUCUCACCAAGUUGUAUUUCUGGAACUUCAUCUCACUCCACUUCCAUCCACCCACCCCUACUCUAAUUUCAAGCCCCCUUUAUGGUGGAAGUGUGUGUAGAGAUCCUUUUCCCAUCCUCAUGGGGCGUGGAUGGCUCCCUGUUGUGCUGCUACAGUUUCUGGUCUCAUUCCUUUGAUGCAACCACCAGUGCCAAGCUUUGAACAUUAACACCUGUGACCCACCGCUGCCUCCACUGAGGGGUCAGAUGCUGCCCCGCAGCUGGAGAGGAGGAGGAAAAAGAGGUGGAAUGUGAGAGGAAGCAUCCUUUCUCCCUCUCUUCCUGCUAUGGUUAAUUGUAUGUGUCAAGUUGUCUAGGUCAUGAUACCUAGUUGUUCGUCCCCUCCAAAUCACGUGUUGAAAUGUAAUGCCCUGGUGGGAGGCGUUUGGAUCACGGGGACAGAUCCCUCAUGAAUGGCUCAGCACCAUCCCCUUGGUGAUGAGUGAGUUCUCACUCUGGCAGUUCACAAGAGAUCUGGUUGUUUAAAAGAGUAUGUCACCUCCCCCAGCCCUUGCUCCCUCUCUUGCCUUGUGAUACACUGGCUCCUCUUCACCUUCCACCAUGAUUGGAAGCUUCUUGAGGCCCCUAUCAGAAGCAGUUGCCAGCACCAUUCUUCCUGCACAGCCUGCAGAACUGUGAGCUAAAAUAAACCUUUUCUU
Molecule: long non-coding RNA, 2197 nt
Organism: Pan troglodytes (chimpanzee)
Lineage: Eukaryota; Metazoa; Chordata; Mammalia; Primates; Hominidae
Exons: 4
Source: RefSeq, a predicted model, not a curated record